GACAGUAUGUCAUAUGUGUCCCUUGUGUGUAUGCACAGCUGAGGCAUCAUCAUUAGUGCCACACUCAUCCAAAUAUGCAUCUACUGCGACCAUGGUUGCUGAACUUACUCUUCAAAGCUUGUUUUGUAUCAUGAAAAUAUUCCACAGUAUGGAAGUGACAGAAAACAGUGGGCAUCUAGCAGCUUGAAAGAGCUCUUGAAAUGCAAUUGAUUUAGGAGCAUUGCUGACCAGGGAAGUUGAGAAUUUACAUAAACUACUUUGUGUAUUUUGUGUUCAUCUGGUGGUGUAAAUCAGCAGGUCGAGACAGUCAUGUAUGCGAUAAUUACUGUUGUGAAAGUUGGUAUGAUGGUAACCUACAAUAUUGGAACAGGCCUUGUGGUUGCUCGUAGGGAAGACAGCUCAUGUUCUCCACCUUCUGCAAUUUCUUCAUGUGGAAUAGGGUGGGGAGCACAGGCUGGAGGAGAAUUGACAGACUUCGUUAUAGUGUUGAGAUCAACUGAGGCUGUGAAGACAUUUGAUGGUACUGCUCAUUUUUCAGUUGGGGCUGGUUUGAGUGCAGCAGUUUGUGCCAUUGGAAGGGCUGCUGAAGCUGAUGUACGAGUGGGGGAUGGUGGCUGCGCUGCUUGUUAUACGUACAGCUGCAGUAAAGGUACUCAUCUAUAUAGCUAUUUUUCCUUUUAAACUGUGGAGUUGUCCUCUGGACUGAUUUUUGGGGUAUGUAUCCAUUGCUAUGCAAAAAAACAUGGAUAGUAUCCUAUGAUAUUAACCAUUUUAAUGUGAUAGUAUCCUAUGAUAUUAACCGUUUUAAUGGCCAUUGUCAUGCUGAGAGUGAAACGAAGUGAAGCUACUUACAAUCCUCUUGAAGUUAGAAAAGAUUAAAUCUAGAAACAAGACAGGAGCAAAUAUCCUAAAAUCUCUUCGGUUUCAUCAAUCAUAGAUACGUUGAUUCACAUGUUUUGUUUCCCAAUGCAGAAAACAAGUCUUUGGAGAGUCAAGUGGAGUAGCAGACAUCCUUACAAUGAGCCCUGUCUUUGCUGACAACUCGGAAAGUGAAGUGGAUGCAGACACCGAGGAAGCGAGACUUAGUAAUUGAAAUGUAAACAUUGCCGAUACUGUAAAGGUAAGGAGCACAAAGUUGGGAGAAAAUGCUCCUGUAGUUGCUGUAGAAGGUUUGAAAGAUCACGAGGAUCAUCCUGCAGAGCAAACUGCGGAAUUCAAGAAAGCACAAAUUAAUUUUUAAACAAGUCUCCGUUGAAAACCAAAGAAGACAGGGGAGCUGUCCUCAGAGUCACCGACGAUGAGCAUCCUGAGGACAUGGCUAUGUCAGAAUACUCCCAUGCUAUGGAACAUGAAGGGACAGACACACCAGACGACCAUGGCAUUGACUGCCAAAACUGUAAAUGAGCUUACAAUCAAGAACAAGAAAGAGUCAAUGGAGCGGGAAGUCUCUGCCAUGAUUGCAGAGUAUAUCGAUCUUGAGAA
Eucalyptus grandis is the source of this 1482-nucleotide long non-coding RNA. RefSeq lists it as uncharacterized. The transcript has 4 exons. The record is from RefSeq and is a predicted model, not a curated record. Lineage: Eukaryota; Viridiplantae; Streptophyta; Magnoliopsida; Myrtales; Myrtaceae.